GACGAACGCUGGCGGCGCGCCUAACACAUGCAAGUCGAACGAGCGAGAGAGAGCUUGCUUUCUCGAGCGAGUGGCGAACGGGUGAGUAACGCGUGAGGAACCUGCCUCAAAGAGGGGGACAACAGUUGGAAACGACUGCUAAUACCGCAUAAGCCCACGGGUCGGCCUCGACCAGAGGGAAAAGGAGCAAUCCGCUUUGAGAUGGCCUCGCGUCCGAUUAGCUAGUUGGUGAGGUAAUGGUCCACCAAGGCGACGAUCGGUAGCCGGACUGAGAGGUUGAAGGGACAAAUUGGGACUGAGACACGGCCCAGACGCCUACGGGAGGGAGCAGGGGGGAAUAUUGCAAAAGGGGGGAAACCCUGAAGCAGCGACGCCGGGGGGAGGAAGAAGGUUUUGGGAUUGGAAACUCCUGUUGGUGGGGAAGAAAAUGACGGUACCAAAAAAGGAAGGGACGGAUAACUACGG
This 465-nucleotide ribosomal RNA is filed under the name uncultured bacterium. RNAcentral's name for it is "partial 16S ribosomal RNA". It matches the Rfam family "Bacterial small subunit ribosomal RNA", at positions 28 to 506 of the family's 1533-position model. The record is from RNAcentral.